Molecule: ribosomal RNA, 301 nt
Filed under: uncultured bacterium
Lineage: Bacteria
Description: partial 16S ribosomal RNA
Rfam family: Bacterial small subunit ribosomal RNA
Source: RNAcentral
CAGCAGCCGCGGGAAUACGAAGGGGGCUAGCGUUGCUCGGAAUGACUGGGCGUAAAGGGCGCGUAGGCGGCGGCCAAAGUCAGGCGUGAAAUUCCCGGGCUCAACCUGGGGGCUGCGUUUGAUACUUGGUUGCUUGAGUGGGGAAGAGGGUCGUGGAAUUCCCAGUGUAGAGGUGAAAUUCGUAGAUAUUGGGAAGAACACCGGUGGCGAAGGCGGCGACCUGGUCCUUUACUGACGCUGAGGCGCGAAAGCGUGGGGAGCAAACAGGAUUAGAUACCCGAGUAGUCCCUGUCUCUUAUAC